GAUGGCCUCCGCAACAUCUGUUUGAAAACCUCAAACAAAGGAGAGUCCACCGCCUUCUGCGGUAACCCAUUCCACUUUUGAACAGCUCUUACCAUCAGAAAGUUCUUCCUAAGGUUUAGUUGGAAUUUCCUUUCUUUGAAUUUGAAUCCAUUGGUUCAGGUCCUUCCCCUCUGGAGCAGCAGGAAAUAAGCUUGUUCCAUCCACUUGACAGCCCUUCAGAUAUCUGGAGAUGGCUAUUGGUAUCGCCUCUUUUCCAGGCUCUCAGUCUUUUCUCCAUUGAAUCUAAUAGACAUGGCCAACUUAAGCCCAUUCAUUUCAAUAGCUCCACUCCAAGUUAGUUGGCUGCCACCACAAAUCACCCAUCACCUCAAUUAAUGACAAACUUUUGGAAUGUUUUGUCCUUCCUUCUUGGGUCUAUCAUCUCCUUUUAGCCCUAAUCUAUCUAAAAAGUCGGCUAUAUCCCAGGAGGCGCCAGGCAGGCAUCAAUCGCCCGACUGAAGUCCAUGGAAACCAUGGGUGGUCACAGCAUUAGCUGGAUCUGCUUCUUCAUUCUGCUGACAAAGAAGCGCCUUCCAAAUCUCUGUGAUCUUCGCACAUUGUUGGAGACUGGGCUCGUGGGGGGUGGUGAAUCGCAAAACAAAGGCAGAGAAAAUCCAUGCCGUUGUAAUGGUAAUGAAUUAAUGGUAAAAAUAGAUUGGGACUGAGCUGACAACAGAAGGCUAGGAAAAGCAGCUUCCGGUCUGCACAGGCGAGGUAGGGAACAUCAGGCCUUGGAGGUGGUGGUGGGGUCUGUCUGACCCUCCAAACUUUCCCCUGGUCACAUCCCCUCUUCCCAAGUCACACCCCUCACAGACCCUCCUUUGCACCUUAAGCCAGUGUGGUGUAGUGGUUAAGAGCGAUACACUCGUAAUCUGGGGAACCAGGUUCGCUUCCCUGCUCCUCCACAUGCAGCUGCUGGGUGACCUUGGGUUGGUCACACUUCUUUGAAGUCUCUCAACCCCAUUCACCUUACAGAGUGUGUGUUGUGGGGGAGGAAGGGAAAGGAGAGUGUUAGCCGCUUUGAGACUCCUUAGGGUAGUGAUAAAGCGGGAUAUCAAAUCCAAACUCUUCUUCUUCUUCUUCUUCUUCUUCUUCUUCUUCUUCUUCUUCUGUGUUUUUGCUUGGAUGAAAUGUGACCUGGAACCCUGAGAUUGCCUCUUGCUUGUCUGGAUGGAGGGCAGGGGGCAGAGAAGGGUAAGCAAGUGUGUGUAGAAGUAAGCCUGCUGUUCAAAGGUAAAGAUUAUCUUCUCCACCUGUUUUAGCCUCCGGCCCUACCCAUUGCUGCCAUGUGGCCCCAGGAACGUUGAGCAGAAGGGAAUGCGGUCCUCAGGCUGGCAAAUCUCCACUCCAGGGCAACCACCAAAUAAGGCCCUUGACUGUGGGGCUGCUGUUCUGGCUAGUAGGUACACAUACCAUUGGACAUUUCACGAAUGAAAAUAGGGACAGUCUUUUACGUGUUGAGUGCCCCUUCUCUCUCAACCAGGGUGACUUCUUGAGGGCUUUUCCCCUGCUGAAGAUAUAUACCAUCUACUGGCGGCUGCCUGCUUUGUGGUAACCAUGGGAUAGAAAGAUGGCUCAAACAUUACAACUGAGAAUUGGAUGUAAUUUCUAGAACUCUGAAUACUACAGUGAUUAAAGGCCCAGGCUUGGCAGUGCCAUCUUUAUUUCAAGGAGCAAAUAAAGAUAUUUUGUUUAAGACAUAAAUAGUCCAUUUCCUGGUAGCAUCCCAGAUAAGAGAUUGGAUUCUCAUGGGGAAGUGAUCGUUGUUUUACUACGCAAAAUUGGUAUGGUAGUGUUUUGAAAGUUGCCCUUGUAGACAAUCUAACACAACAUUGCAGAGGAGUCAGAUGUGACAUUUCCAGAGGUAAGUUUCACAAUAACUGGCCUCUCUUCAUGAAUUUCAUAAAUUCCUUACCAGAAGGACCUAGACCACCUUCUGUUCACUUUUGUUUUUGGAGAGGC
RNAcentral lists this long non-coding RNA (2001 nucleotides) under Podarcis lilfordi (Lilford's wall lizard). Lineage: Eukaryota; Metazoa; Chordata; Lepidosauria; Squamata; Lacertidae. The record is from RNAcentral.